Molecule: unclassified non-coding RNA, 677 nt
Filed under: Zea mays
Lineage: Eukaryota; Viridiplantae; Streptophyta; Magnoliopsida; Poales; Poaceae
Description: misc RNA Zm00001eb193050
Source: RNAcentral
ACUCUCACAGGAUGGCCCAAUCGCACAUGCUAGUGCCAACAGUCAGCCCGCCGCACAGCUCUCAUAUAGACGCACACGCACGCAACAGCAACAGGAAAACCCUAAGCCCCGUCGCUCCCUCCGCCGGCCGCCGCCAGUGACCGGUCCUCCAGUGAUGUCUCCACCACUCGACGCAGAAGGUGAGCUCCCCGAACCUUGGGAUCAUGGAGGCCAUUACAACAUACAGGUUACUCUUCAGUUCUUCACUCUUCAUCUUCCACAUGCCCUUCGCCCUUCCCUUGCUUGGAAGUUGAACCCUAGUCAGCUACUCGUCUCUCGCCACAAUAAAUGACGCGACAGGCCGAGGCGUCGCCCACGUGUUGCUUUGAUUCUCAGGUUUCCAGUUCUAUAAAUCCAGCCCCUUCUAUCUUAGCCUGGCAGACCGAGGUCCUAUGAGUCGAUAUGGUCGGAGACAUCCUCUAAUGGCAUCCAAGUCUAGGGCUAGUGAAACCAAUCCUUAUCCUUGUCCUAAUCCUAAUCCUAAUACUAACGUUGGUGCGUCUGGUGGUGAACUAGGUGUGAGUGGUAGUGUGGCUGCUGGUGAACUGGAUGUGGAUGUGGGUCGUGUGGCUGCUGGUGAACCACCACAAACACCAUAUGUCGUCCAUGGGGGUGAACUGGGUGAUGGUGAUUGUGCA